GGUUAAGCGACUAAGCGUACACGGUGGAUGCCCUGGCAGUCAGAGGCGAUGAAGGACGUGCUAAUCUGCGAUAAGCGUCGGUAAGGUGAUAUGAACCGUUAUAACCGGCGAUUUCCGAAUGGGGAAACCCAGUGUGAUUCGUCACACUAUCAUUAACUGAAUCCAUAGGUUAAUGAGGCGAACCGGGGGAACUGAAACAUCUAAGUACCCCGAGGAAAAGAAAUCAACCGAGAUUCCCCCAGUAGCGGCGAGCGAACGGGGAGCAGCCCAGAGCCUGAAUCAGUGUGUGUGUUAGUGGAAGCGUCUGGAAAGGCGCGCGAUACAGGGUGACAGCCCCGUACACAAAAAUGCACAUGCUGUGAGCUCGAUGAGUAGGGCGGGACACGUGGUAUCCUGUCUGAAUAUGGGGGGACCAUCCUCCAAGGCUAAAUACUCCUGACUGACCGAUAGUGAACCAGUACCGUGAGGGAAAGGCGAAAAGAACCCCGGCGAGGGGAGUGAAAAAGAACCUGAAACCGUGUACGUACAAGCAGUGGGAGCACGCUUCGGCGUGUGACUGCGUACCUUUUGUAUAAUGGGUCAGCGACUUAUAUUCUGUAGCAAGGUUAACCGAAUAGGGGAGCCGAAGGGAAACCGAGUCUUAACUGGGCGUUAAGUUGCAGGGUAUAGACCCGAAACCCGGUGAUCUAGCCAUGGGCAGGUUGAAGGUUGGGUAACACUAACUGGAGGACCGAACCGACUAAUGUUGAAAAAUUAGCGGAUGACUUGUGGCUGGGGGUGAAAGGCCAAUCAAACCGGGAGAUAGCUGGUUCUCCCCGAAAGCUAUUUAGGUAGCGCCUCGUGAAUUCAUCUCCGGGGGUAGAGCACUGUUUCGGCAAGGGGGUCAUCCCGACUUACCAACCCGAUGCAAACUGCGAAUACCGGAGAAUGUUAUCACGGGAGACACACGGCGGGUGCUAACGUCCGUCGUGAAGAGGGAAACAACCCAGACCGCCAGCUAAGGUCCCAAAGUCAUGGUUAAGUGGGAAACGAUGUGGGAAGGCCCAGACAGCCAGGAUGUUGGCUUAGAAGCAGCCAUCAUUUAAAGAAAGCGUAAUAGCUCACUGGUCGAGUCGGCCUGCGCGGAAGAUGUAACGGGGCUAAACCAUGCACCGAAGCUGCGGCAGCGACGCUUAUGCGUUGUUGGGUAGGGGAGCGUUCUGUAAGCCUGUGAAGGUGUGCUGUGAGGCAUGCUGGAGGUAUCAGAAGUGCGAAUGCUGACAUAAGUAACGAUAAAGCGGGUGAAAAGCCCGCUCGCCGGAAGACCAAGGGUUCCUGUCCAACGUUAAUCGGGGCAGGGUGAGUCGACCCCUAAGGCGAGGCCGAAAGGCGUAGUCGAUGGGAAACAGGUUAAUAUUCCUGUACUUGGUGUUACUGCGAAGGGGGGACGGAGAAGGCUAUGUUGGCCGGGCGACGGUUGUCCCGGUUUAAGCGUGUAGGCUGGUUUUCCAGGCAAAUCCGGAAAAUCAAGGCUGAGGCGUGAUGACGAGGCACUACGGUGCUGAAGCAACAAAUGCCCUGCUUCCAGGAAAAGCCUCUAAGCAUCAGGUAACAUCAAAUCGUACCCCAAACCGACACAGGUGGUCAGGUAGAGAAUACCAAGGCGCUUGAGAGAACUCGGGUGAAGGAACUAGGCAAAAUGGUGCCGUAACUUCGGGAGAAGGCACGCUGAUAUGUAGGUGAAGUCCCUUGCGGAUGGAGCUGAAAUCAGUCGAAGAUACCAGCUGGCUGCAACUGUUUAUUAAAAACACAGCACUGUGCAAACACGAAAGUGGACGUAUACGGUGUGACGCCUGCCCGGUGCCGGAAGGUUAAUUGAUGGGGUCAGCGCAAGCGAAGCUCUUGAUCGAAGCCCCGGUAAACGGCGGCCGUAACUAUAACGGUCCUAAGGUAGCGAAAUUCCUUGUCGGGUAAGUUCCGACCUGCACGAAUGGCGUAAUGAUGGCCAGGCUGUCUCCACCCGAGACUCAGUGAAAUUGAACUCGCUGUGAAGAUGCAGUGUACCCGCGGCAAGACGGAAAGACCCCGUGAACCUUUACUAUAGCUUGACACUGAACAUUGAGCCUUGAUGUGUAGGAUAGGUGGGAGGCUUUGAAGUGUGGACGCCAGUCUGCAUGGAGCCGACCUUGAAAUACCACCCUUUAAUGUUUGAUGUUCUAACGUUGACCCGUAAUCCGGGUUGCGGACAGUGUCUGGUGGGUAGUUUGACUGGGGCGGUCUCCUCCUAAAGAGUAACGGAGGAGCACGAAGGUUGGCUAAUCCUGGUCGGACAUCAGGAGGUUAGUGCAAUGGCAUAAGCCAGCUUGACUGCGAGCGUGACGGCGCGAGCAGGUGCGAAAGCAGGUCAUAGUGAUCCGGUGGUUCUGAAUGGAAGGGCCAUCGCUCAACGGAUAAAAGGUACUCCGGGGAUAACAGGCUGAUACCGCCCAAGAGUUCAUAUCGACGGCGGUGUUUGGCACCUCGAUGUCGGCUCAUCACAUCCUGGGGCUGAAGUAGGUCCCAAGGGUAUGGCUGUUCGCCAUUUAAAGUGGUACGCGAGCUGGGUUUAGAACGUCGUGAGACAGUUCGGUCCCUAUCUGCCGUGGGCGCUGGAGAACUGAGGGGGGCUGCUCCUAGUACGAGAGGACCGGAGUGGACGCAUCACUGGUGUUCGGGUUGUCAUGCCAAUGGCACUGCCCGGUAGCUAAAUGCGGAAGAGAUAAGUGCUGAAAGCAUCUAAGCACGAAACUUGCCCCGAGAUGAGUUCUCCCUGAC
RNAcentral lists this ribosomal RNA (2793 nucleotides) under Escherichia coli. RNAcentral's name for it is "partial 23S ribosomal RNA". It matches the Rfam family "Bacterial large subunit ribosomal RNA". Lineage: Bacteria; Pseudomonadati; Pseudomonadota; Gammaproteobacteria; Enterobacterales; Enterobacteriaceae. The record is from RNAcentral.